RNAcentral lists this long non-coding RNA (408 nucleotides) under Malus domestica (apple). RNAcentral's name for it is "long non-coding RNA (MDOM_LNC015290)". Lineage: Eukaryota; Viridiplantae; Streptophyta; Magnoliopsida; Rosales; Rosaceae. The record is from RNAcentral.
CAUCAAUUCUUUCGUCACCAUCAUCGUCUUCCUUUUCUUUCAUCCACCAACCAAUCAAAUUUGCAGAAGCAAAUCUCCAAAUUAUUGAUCGGAGCUUGCUCACCCAGCAAGUAGAAAGUCCAUGUCCAUGCUUUACAAGGGAGUCAGUGCAGCAAAAAACACAGGUGAAAUAAAAAAAAAAACCCAGUUUUGAGUUUUUAAUCCAUUGAAACCAAAACCCAGAUGAAAUCUUUUCCAGUUUUGAGUUUAAUCAUUGAACAUCAUCAAAAUCAAAUAACAAUUAAGCCAAAAAUCCAGAUAAUGGCUCUCCACAACAUGAACGGCGUGACUUGGAUUCGAUUUGCCACCUCUUGUUUUCCAUUCAAAAUCUGCUUGAUGGUAAUCAGAGGUGGGGAUGGAGAUAGAGGG